RNAcentral lists this long non-coding RNA (9261 nucleotides) under Homo sapiens (human). RNAcentral's name for it is "HSALNT0136176". Lineage: Eukaryota; Metazoa; Chordata; Mammalia; Primates; Hominidae. The record is from RNAcentral.
GGCUGAAUUUUUAUACAAGUCUUUAUUUACAACUUGUUUAACAACUGUACACUUUUUGCAGCCUUGAAAACAUUUUUGUACUUGAAUGGGAAAAUAUAGUUUGACCAAAUCUUAACUUUAUUCUUCAUAUACAUAUACAUAUAUUAUAUGCAUACAUAUAAACACAUACAUAUAAUUAAUACCGUAACAAGUUGGCAGUCGUAAAAUUAAAAUGAGUAAAUGAUAUCAAAAGGAAAUACAAGAUUUCAAAAACACUAAAAAUCCAUCUUCUGGUGGUUUCCUGGACUUUAUGUUUUUGUGAUUUUAGUUGAAAUUUCUUACUGAGGCUCUGUAACAAGUCAUUCACCUCAGAAAAACAGCCAGAAAACCCACCAAUCUCAACACAUAGUAAAUGGUUGGAAAACUCAGUAAACAGGUGGAAAAAUGCUUGGACAUCAUUAUGUACAACACUGCUAAAUCUGUAUUUCAUUUUUGAAGUGAGAAGUUCCAAGUCUGAUGUGGACAUUGUUUUUGGAUUAUAAUGACAAAGAAUGAAAUUCUGAAAAAUGUAAAUUCAAUACUCAAUCAGAAAUAAGAAUAUACCUAGCAAUAUCCUUUUUGCAAAGACUAAAAUGCAAGGUGGAUUACUACAAUGUCAAAUAUGAAACUAACAACAAUUCACAGAACAAUCAAUGGUACUUAAGACAUGAAUAUAAGGCUUCAGAGUUGGGGCUGUACUCAAUACAACUCCAGCUCCAAUGUACUAAGGUUUCAUCCAGCUCAUCUAAAAAGUUUUAAAAAUACUACAGGGGGAAAAAAAAGCCUCUUUCUAUCCCCAAGUUUUUUGAUAUAAUUUAUUAAUCAAACUAAGGCAAAUUAUUAUUAGAUAUGUUUGAAUUUUACUAUUCAUUUCAUAAUCAAAAAUUGAGUAUUGUAAAUGGUGGGCAAUUGUCAAAACAUGAAAACUGCAAAACAAGAUAAGCCUAGAAAUUAUUUUCUAAGUACAAAGCAUUCUGAAUUACACAGAACCUGUAAACAGCAAAGUUCAUGACAGCGAUGAUAUUUUAGUGCAUUUGAAUUAUAAAUAACUAAGGCUGUUAAAAAAUAAAAGAUUUGGGCCGGGCGCAGUGGCUCAUGCCUGUAAUCCCAGCACUUCAGGAGGCCAAUGCGGGCAGAUCACGAGAUCAAGAGAUCGAGAUCAUCCUGGCCAACAAGGUGAAACCCCGUCUCUACUAAAAAUACAAAAAUUAGCUGGAUGUGGUGGCAUGUGCCUGCAGUCCCAGUUACUUGGGAGGCUGAGGCAGGAGAAUAGCUUGAACCUGGGAGGCGGAGGUUGCAGUGAGGCGAGAUCGUGCCACUGCUCCAGCCUGGUGACACAGCAAGACUCCGUCUCAAAAAUAAAUAAAUAAAUAAAUAAAAGAUUGCUGUUAAAGACAUUAAAAGGCCCCAAAUCACUGAUUAGCAUUUGUGUACAGUCAUUUCUUGUAUUUAGAGUAAAAUGCUAUUUCUUAUUUCAAGCAUAUUGAAAACGUCCCUUAACUAAUAUGAAUCGCUACAGAACACAUACUAAAGUAGGUCACCAAGAAGAUAAUAAACUGAAGUCACACCACUUACUCAUCUGUACUUGAACUACAAUAAGAAUCAUCAUAACUUGCUUGGAAUUCGACACUGCUGGAUCAAGUCUGUUGCUUGAUUACAAAAAUUUAAAGAGAAAGAAGAAAGCAUCAAGAUUUCCUAACAAAAUAAUUGUAAGCACCAAGCUGACUCAAAAGGAUUAUGGUUAGUCCCUUAUUUCCAUUAAAAAAUUUAGACAUGUUACUAUAGAUCCAUUUAGUUAUGUUAAGCACUUUAGUAGCAGGCCAAGUAAAUUAAUACAUAUUUUUAAAUGUUUUCAUUAGCUAAGUCACUGGAAUAGUAAAUGCCUUAUACAUAAAACUUAAUUUGAUUCAUAAUACAAGUUAAUAAGAGCAGGAAGUUAUGAAGAUAAAAAAAUUGUUUGCAUCUUGAUGUACCUUUGAGGUGGACUUUCAGGGGAAAUGUUUAAGGGACAGAAACAAAAAAAACUGUUGGCAAUGUUCAUUAGAUCUAUAUAAAUUUAAAAGGAAGGAUAUCAUUAAAUCUAUCAAUCUUUAUUUGAAAUAAGCAUUCAUAUGAAUUUGCCUGAUAAAUGUUAACUAUAUAACAUCAAUUUAUAUUAUUUUUUUUUAGAGACAGGGGUCUUGCUUUGCCACCCAGGCUGGAUUCAUAAAACCUAUCUGUUACAGGGGAACUCAGAAUGCUUUUGCAGCCUGCCAUCUUUAGUGCCUGCCUUUCCAGUCACCUCUUCCCCACCAUUUUCCUGAUCCUCCGACUUGACAGCUCCCAGAACUUGGCUUUCCUGUCUUUUAGGUACAUGCAGUGACGGAGGCACUGCUGAAGUUAGGGGCAAUCUGCAGGUUUGUGUUUCAGGAGGCAGGCAAACCAAAGGUAAGAACAUCUUCUGAUUAACUGUAAGAUGGGAUAAUUUUUAUGAAUACAACUUCAGAAAGCAUCAAGUUUCAAGGGUGUUUGCGUUUGAAAGGAUUUGGCUUCUAAGUAUUACAUUAUAAAAGAGUCUUCUUAAGGAGACAUGUAAAAAGUAACUCAUAUCCAGUAGCUCCAACCCAGCUUCCAACAGAUUUCUAGACUUAGACCUUUAGAUUCCUGACUCUAAGAUAACAGAAAAUGCCAGAAAGGUAGAGGGGAAGAGGGAAAAUAAUGAUCUAAUAUUAGUAAAGUGCUACAAAUUUUGCAGUAAAAUAUACUACAUAAAUGACUAGAAGUAACAGUAAAUAAUAUUAAGAUACUAUAUAAAGACUAUAUAUUAAGACACUAAAUAAAAUACACACACUAUAGAAUGUACACGGAGUAAUCACUACCCAUGGGUUGACAAAUACACCAGAAUAAACAUGAGUCCUUUUUAUUAAUUUUACAACAUAACUGCUAAAGUAAUUAUUUUCCUUCAUCAAGCUAGUUACCACUCAAGUGUUAACGCCUACCUGGAAGUCUCCCAUGUUAAAGCCUCAACAUGCUUUGGUAGUCUUCUUUCUCUCAAGUAGGAGUUGCUUUUCUCAUGAUACCUAAUUCUUCCUCUAAGCUCUAAGUAGAUAUAAUUCGGAUUUGAUAGUCCCAUGGGCCCAAACUUUGAGGCCGUGGACACCUCUGAUUUCACCUUUAUCAGGUAAAUAAUGGCACAAUGUUGAAUAUACUUUAAAAAUGUCUACUUUUGCCUUCAUUUAAAACAAAACUGUGUGGGGCUACUGUGUGUAAGUAAGAAGGACAUAAAAUUGAGCCUAUGGCUUGCAAACUAGAUAAAGCAGAUCUAGAUAACACCAAGUUGGUCACGAUUUUCAGCCACCGCAGAUUUCUUCUCAUCUCAUCAAAUCAUAGUAUCCUUGGCGACCUAAAAUCACUUUCUCAGCUUUAGUAAUAGCCAAACAGUCUCAAAAUGAAAAUAAGUGUUUUUCCCUUUACUAGUAAACAUAUACAACUACAUUAUGCACCUAGUUAAUACUCAAUGAAGGGAAGGACAAUUAGAAAAUAAAUUAGAUAUUUGUUUACUCUUUUACUGAAUAAUCAUGUAAUACAGAGGAUUUUAGGCAAACUAUUGCUUUGGGAACAUCUGUUUAGAUAAUGCAAGUUUUCAUUGUAUUAGGACUUCCCUCUGCCUGCAUAUUUGUUUAUAAUUAGGCUAUUUCUUAUCCCAAUGAUCCACUCCACUUUCUAGGAAUGAAUUUGCCUUAAUAGCCUUCCAUUAUGUUCUUAGGUUUCUAUACUCAUGCAAACACACACAGCAUGCAAACCGAGUCUUACAGAGUAUUACUGGAAAUUAUAAGAAAACAGAAAACUUCUGAAGAGACAUCAAGUAAUUCCUGAUCUAUAUCUAUAUAUUUAUCUAUCAUAGGAAAACAUUUAUAACCCCCCACAAUCACCAAAACUCAUAUACUUGCCAUAAUUAGGUACAGGUCUCUUGUUUCUCAAACAAAUGUCCCUUUCUCUAUCAUUUCAGUCAAUGUGGAGAAUCCAAGGAUGCCCAUGUUUUAAGUCAACAUGAAUUAAAUGUUUUAUAAGUUUCUAUAGUCAUAUAGAUAAUACAUGUGAAAUGGUUUGAUAAAAGGCUAUUUAAAAAAUAAAAUCAUCUAUAUAUACUUCCCCAGAAAAUCAUCAGUGAUUUAAAAGAGAUGGAUGCCACCCCAUUUGUGCUGCCCCUUGUUUUCUAGAAAGGAAGCUAAAUAUUAAUACUUCGGUAAUUUGAGGGAUUGGGUGGAAAUUAGCUCUGUUAGCAUAUUAUGUUAUGUUUUUUAGGCUUCUGGGAACUGAACAGCAUUUGCUGCAAAACUUUAGACCACUUCUGUGUUAAAACUGGACAAUAAAACAUUUUCAACAAAAGGAACAUACACCAAUUAUUAUUUAAAUAUUCUUUAUAGAUAGAAAAUAAAAAAUUAGACGACAGAUACAUUGAGAAUAGCCUUCCUCAUAGAAAAAACUUCAUGAUAUAAAACAUUCAAAUCAUUAUUAUAGUUAUCAAGAAUAAGCUCUGAAACCUCCUUCUAAAUGUAAUGAAACUAGGUUGGAUAAUUACCAAAAGAAACUGCCAUUUUGACAGAAUGAUAGGAAGAGAGAUUAUCCUUAUUGAAUGGAAAAUCCUUCUAAUUUAUAAAAAUGAAAAAAUAGAAAAAAUGAUAAAAUAAUUUUCAAAGAUUCUGACAUCCCAUUUGAUUUUGCUCAGAAUAGUCUUUCAUCCUACUGUAUGGUAUUACACAGGCUUCACUGUUGAGAAGUACAAUGCUACAUCAGUUUGACGGCCACUGCUAGGCAAAGAAUCCCUUCAUAAUAUAAGAAUAAAAACUCAAAAUAUUCUUCUACAGUUUCAUGAAUAGACAACAAAAAGCACUUUGUCUUCAUGUUGUUAUUUUGCCCUCAGCAAAAAGCAAGAUACCAAGCACUUUCCUCUCACUUUAGAAACAAAGAUGUUCUUAUCCACGUGGCUGUAAACUAGCUCGGUUUCCACUAGCUGUGGGUUGUGGAUGCUUUCUCAGAUAAAUCACACAUGAUCCAACUGGGGAUAACUGGAGUUAUCCUGGACUCAGAGAUCUAGAUAAUAGGAGACUAAAUGCAGAGUUAAGAGAAUUUUUAAAAGUAAUUUAGAUUUUUGUUUCAAGAUAAUUCUUAUAUUGGGAUAAAGACUUCCAAGUUUUUAACAUGCUGUUAUCAUUAAAAUGACAGGUGAAUUUUUGUGAGGGAGCAGGAGAGGCUGAAAAAUAUUUCAAACAAUUACUUAGCAAACGAGAAUAAACCAAACUGCUACUUUCGAAAAGGAAAUAGGAGGCUGGGGCAGUAACACACGCUGAUGUUUCUGACUGGAUAACAUUUAGCUUAAUUUUGUACAGUUGAGCUUUUAUUAUAUUAACAAUAAAACCUCAACAAAAUUACAGACAGCAAUUUCAUCCUUAUUAUAGUCUAAUAAUCUAAUUAAAACACUUAGGUUAAGGAUGUCUAAUAGAAAUGUCAAUCUUGGUAAAUUUUGGAACACAGGGUCUUUAGGGACUUUUUUCUGCAUUACUAUCAAAUAGACAAAUGGUAAAAGAUAUGACGGAGUUUUUCAAAGUUCUUUAAAAAUAUGUACAAUUGUAUACUUGAUUCUCUUUUCAGAUAUUAUACACUACUAUAUUUUCUGGAUUACAAACUUCUGAAAUACACACUGUGGAACAUAAAUGCUAGGUUUUAAUAUUCUUUAGUUCUUUACUUUGUAUUUUCUCACCCUGGUUAGAAGGAAAACAGAAAAUGAUCUUCCUGUUUAUAAGACUUCAGACACUGUGGUGACAGUGUGCUCCAACCCAACACAGCAACCCUGUACUUGCUCCAUGCUGGUGCCUGGACAAGCUCCACUGCACAAGCCAACGUGGCCCCAGGAAGGUGCUGUAUGCGAGAGUUUGUAAAAAUACAGCACAGCAUCACUCACGAUGAGGCAAAGCUCCUAGUGACUUUAAAUUUCCAGAUAGACCAGACAACAUCACGAAUCUCCUGAGGAAUCAUUAAUCAUUACUAGAGAAACAGAAACGUCAUAAACCCUGUCCAAAGCUGGACACCGGACAUGGAGUUGCCACCGUUAGAGCUAAAUUUUAUUCUUGGCUUUCUGAUACCUAAAGUAUAUUCAGAAGUUUUUUUUUUUUUUUUUUUUACAACAGCCUGUUUUGUUUUUAAACAUCAUAAAAUGUUUAGAAAUAUAAUUUCUCCUAUGUAAUGAAACUAAUACACUGAAUUUUAUAGGUAAAAGAGAAUGAAAAUUAUAAAUGUAGGCUGGGCGCGGUGGCUCACGCCUGUAAUCCCAGCACUCUGGGAGGCUGAGGCGGGUGGAUCACGAGGUCAGGAGAUCGAGACCAUCCUGGCUAACAUGGUGAAACCCCGUCUCUACUAAAAAAUACAAAAAAUUAGUCGGGCGUAGUGGCGGGCGCCUGUAGUCCCCGCUACUCAGGAGGCUGAGGCAGGAGAAUGGCGUGAACCCGGGAGGCGGAGCUUGCAGUGAGCCGAGAUCGCGCCACUGCACUCCAGCCUGGGUGACAGAGCGAGACAUCAUCUCACAAAAAAAAAAAAAAGAAAGAAAAUUAUAAAUGUAAACAUCAAAAUAAUAGCAUACAACAGAUGCUGAAGAAAAGUCAGAAGUACGACUGGGCGCGGUGGCUCGUGCCUGUAAUCUCAGCACUUUGGGAGGCCGAGGUGGGUAGAUCACGAGGUCAGGAGUUUGAGACCAGCCUGGCCAACAUGGUGAAACACCAUCUCUACUAAAUUACAAAAAUUAGCCAGCCAUGGUGGUGGGCACCUGUAAUCCCAGCUACUCUGGAGGCUGAGGCAGGAGAAUUGCUUGAACCCGGGAGGCAGAGGCUGCAGUGAGCCGAGAUCAUGCCACGGCACUACAGCCUGGGUGACGGAACGAGGCUCCGUCUCGGGGGGAAAAAAAAGUCAGAAGUAAAACUCCCCUCUAAAAGCCUGGGGCCUUUCCAACCCAGAUAGAGAAAAAAUAUCUGGGUAGGUGGAUGGGUAGGAGAUUAGGACUGGGGCUGUAAAUAGAAAAUGAAAAUGAAAACCUCUCAUCUCACAGAACAAAAUUCAUUCAGUGAGUAGUUCACAGACUGUUUUUUUUUUUUUUUUUUUUUUUUUUUUUCUUGCGACAGAGUUUCGCUCUUGUCGCCAGGCUGGGGUGCAAUGGCGCCAUCUCGGCUCACUGCAAUCUCUGUCUCCCAGGUUCAAGCAAUUCUCCUGCCUCACCCUCCCAAGUAGCUGGGACUACAGGCACACACCACCAUGCCUGGCUAAUUGUUUGUAUUUUUAGUAGAGACGGAGUUUCACCAUGUUGGACAGGCUGGUCUGGAAGUCCUGACCUCAGAUGAUGUGCCUGUCUCGGCCUCCCAAAGUGCUGGGAUUAUACGCGUGAGCCACUGCACCUGGCUGUUGUUUUCAUCCAUCAUAUUCUGCAGGUACAAUUUUCCCAAAAUUUUAACUUACCAAGGUUAGUGCUCAUAUUCCAAUUUGAUUGAUUGAUUGAUUGACUGAUUGAGACAGAGUCUCACUCUGUCGCCCAGGCUGGAAUGCAGUGGUGCGAUCUCAGCUCACUGCAGUCUCUGGCUCCUGAGUUCAAGUGACUCUCCUGCCUCAGCCUCCCAAGUAGCUGGGAUUACAGCCACAUGCCACCAUGCCCAGCUAAUUUUUGUAAUUUAGUAGAGAUGGGGUUUCACCAUGUUGGCCAGGCUGGUCUCAAACUCCUGACCUCAAGUGAUCCACCCCCACCUAGGUCUCCCAAAUGGUGAGAUUGCAGGCGUGAGGCACCACGUCUGGCCCCAAUUUGCUUUAAAAAUAGUUGGAUCCUCAGGCUAUUUGUGAAACACGGGUAGAGGUAAGAACCGUCUGAAAGUUUUUAAUCUUUUACUUUGGAAACUUUGCAGUUGAUCAGGUCUGCGUAGCCUCCUGAAGCCCUACAGCAGUUCUACUCAUGGCUAUCUCCAUUUAUCCCUAACUUCUGCUGCUUUGUGGUCCUGUCAGGCAGAAGCAUUCAUGCUGUGCUCAGACUUCUGUACUUAAUGUAAAAAAUUAGCACAAUGUAUGGCUCCAGUUCUGUGUAUACUCUAAUAUCUUUCUUCAACUACGGCUUCUGAGGACAAACAAAUACCACUGAUUUUUAGGUCAUCUUUCUUAUUAAAAAGAAAGAAAGAAUUUAAAAAUCAAACACUUGAAUAUAGUUGCUGAAAAUUCUUAAUUACAUUUAGCUUGAUUUGAGGUUACUUAUUCGUAUUUAACAUAAAGAACCAAAUGAAACCUGAACUUGCAAAUAGCAAGUACAUGAGAAAACAUCCUCCUAUAUUAAGUGACCUAACCUAAAAAUAAACAAAAAAACCAUGACCUAAUUUCAGAAAUGUUUUGCUUUCAAAAAAUGGGCUACGUUGCAAGAAAAAAGACUUAAAUAUAAUUUGGGACCAAAUACAUAAGUCAAUAUGGAAAGUUAGAAGGCAUUUCAUUUAUAAAUGAAUGAUAUUUCACACUUAUAUAGCACCUUAUAUAUACAAAGUGCUUUACAAUGAUUAUUCAACAGCCCAUUCAUCAAUGUAAAUAAAUGUGGUUUACAAUCUGUUAACAAAUGUAAGCACUUUGAGGCAACCAAAUAUCCAAGAAAAUCUAUUUAGUAACAAAUUCCUGGACUAGCAGAUAGAUGUGAGAAAAAACGUAAAGAGAUCUGCCAUAAUAUAACAUACAAGAAGUUACUAAUGUUAGUGACUGAUAUUAAGAUAUCAAGUGUUAGGAAUUGUUAAAAAAUGGAAGGGUUUAUAUUAAAGAACAAGUAAAACAAAUGGGGCAUAAGUCAACAAACAGCCCAAAAAUAAGACUACCAAUAACUUGUACAUAUAUGAAAGAUAACUCUUUUAGAUGUGGAAAGCAACUGAAGGUAUGUCAACCACAUUGUUAGAAAAUGAUCCUCAGUUACUAAGAUAUUCCAAAAGAACAAGAAAUUAAUGCAGUGUCUAAUUUUUUUUCUUUUGUAAUUUAUCCCAAAAUAACCUCACCAAACAUUCACUUCUGCCAGCAAACAAGAUAGCAGGAAAUAAUGAAAUUUUAUGUAUUUAUGUUUUAAAAAUAGUCUCCAAAUCUUUGGACAAAUUUAAUUUCCUAUAAAACAAUGUGAAAACUCAUUUUUUCCUCAAAUAAUUCUUCCAGGUGCCUUAGGGAAGAUGUGAUUAGCACCUCUGCCAAUGUAUUCAAGUCUUUGCAAAAAGA